Achromatium sp. WMS3 is the source of this 74-nucleotide transfer RNA. It matches the Rfam family "tRNA". Rfam says of the family: Transfer RNA (tRNA) molecules are approximately 80 nucleotides in length. Lineage: Bacteria; Pseudomonadati; Pseudomonadota; Gammaproteobacteria; Thiotrichales; Thiotrichaceae. The record is from Rfam.
GCGCUCUUAGCUCAGUUUGGUAGAGCAGCUGACUUUUAAUCAGUUGGUCGAUGGUUCGAGUCCAUCAGGGCGCA